GCCAGCUUGGCUCAGUGGUUGAGCAUCAGUCUGUGAACCAGGAGGUCAGGGUUCGAUUCCCGGUCAGGGCA
This 71-nucleotide transfer RNA is filed under the name Myotis lucifugus (little brown bat). It matches the Rfam family "tRNA". Rfam says of the family: Transfer RNA (tRNA) molecules are approximately 80 nucleotides in length. The record is from Rfam by way of RNAcentral. Lineage: Eukaryota; Metazoa; Chordata; Mammalia; Chiroptera; Vespertilionidae.